UUAGCCUCAAAGAAAGUUAGCAACCUUCCCGCUAGCCAAGAUUGGCUGAGAUAAUGAGUGGGCUGAGGUAUGAGUUUGGAUUGGUGCGUUGUUGCAUCUUGUGUAUAUAAAAUGAGCUGCUUCUAAAACAGCUUUUUUAAAUCUUUAACUUCAGCCAUGGAGAACUGCAAAUAUGUUACUACUGCUCUCAAUAACAAUGCUUCCCUGAAUUUAUCAGGCGCUAUCUACAAAUGUCAGUCAGAAAAAGUUAUGAUGGAUGACGAUUGUGCCAUGCUGACUCUCUCUCACUCUGAAAAGAACACAUUUUGAAAUCAGUGGAACAUAACCGGCCAAACAAGCUGUGCAAACUAAACGGAAACAACACAGGAAGUCUUAUAAAAGGGUUGAAGCUUUCAUCCAUGUAUACAGAUGGCUGGCUAGCUAGCUUUGUCUGAGAUUGACGGUUGGUUGGACUGGAGGAUGGUACGGUGCUGGUGGAAAGCUAUGGCUGGCAACAACACCGACUCCGUACUUCAGGCCACUGCCACAUACUGUAUCAAGCAGUACCAGCACUUCAGCUUCAAUGCUCUGGAGCCUGGUUUUGUCGCCAAGGAGCGUUCGGACUGCUGCGCAUUUUUCCUCCCAUAGAUGGUCUGCCUGUAAAAGCACCACCUGGACCGGCCAUAGACAAACUAUCUUUUUGACAAGAUCAUGGAGUUUAGCGACGAAGAGGCUAUGGACAUCACAUGCCCUGGACCAAAGUCAAGGGCAGGGCAGAAACAGGCUCUCUGAAUAUAGAUUCCCUUGUUCAUGCGUGGUUUGAACGGACCAGUCAUCAGCACUAUCUGUAGUGCCACUAUUCACAUGACUCUCUCCGAACACACACGCCAUACUUUGCUGCUACAAUUUAUUUAUCCUGCUGCUCAGCCACUUUACUCCUGAUUGUAUGCAUAUAACUACCUCGUCUAUCACUGAUAUCAUUAUUGAUAUUGUUCUUGUACAUACUGUAUAUGUUAUUUAUAUUGACACUAUCCAUUUCUGAUAUUGUUACUAUGCAAGUAACCAUUUGGCUGUAACAUUUACACCUUCUGUAGAGACCAUCCACUUAGCAACAUAUUGAUAUAUAAUUAAUAUUGAUGUGUGGUCGUAACAUGAUUUUGUGACAUACCACAACAAUAUAAUGUGACCGUAUCAAGUGUCCACCCUAUAUGGCGCAUGCAUCUGUUUAUGUACAGUACAUGUGCACCUCACUCAGGUUUCAACUCAGGUUGCAUGGCCUUAACUUAUGUAUGGAUUACUAUGUGAUAAGUGCAUGUGUAACAGUAUAUAAAGUAUGCUAAUGUACUGGUGUGAAGGCAUUUUGGCAGUGCUGUAAAGUACUUAAGUAAAAAUACUUGAAAGUACUACUUAAGUAGUUUGUGGUAUCUGUACAUUACUUUACUAUUUUAUAUUUUUGGCUACUUUUACUUCACUACAUUCGUAAAGAAAAAUGUACUUUUUACUUUAAUACAUUUUCCCUGACACCCAAAAGUACUUACUUUUUGACAGGAAAAUGGUCCAAUUCACACACUUAUCCAGAGAACAUCCCUGGUCAUCCCUACUGCCUCUGAUCUGGCCGAAUCACUAAACACAAAUGCUUCUUUUGUAAAUUAUGUCUGAGUGUUGGAGUGUGCCCCUGGCAAUUGUCAAUAAAAAAAAAACUUGAAAAAUA
Molecule: long non-coding RNA, 1690 nt
Organism: Oncorhynchus tshawytscha (Chinook salmon)
Lineage: Eukaryota; Metazoa; Chordata; Actinopteri; Salmoniformes; Salmonidae
Source: Ensembl